Molecule: non-coding RNA, 886 nt
Organism: Phascolarctos cinereus (koala)
Lineage: Eukaryota; Metazoa; Chordata; Mammalia; Diprotodontia; Phascolarctidae
Source: RefSeq, a predicted model, not a curated record
AUUUCGAGAAUCCAAGCUUCCCUCCACACUCGUAGGUUCUACUCUGGCUGCUGUUUUGAAAUUUCCUUCAACUACCCUGAGAAGGGGGGAAAAAUGUGUAAAAGAAGAGGGUAUGCUGUUACUCUUUUAUUAAUCCUGGAGAGUCAGACAAUUAACCUUUUAUAAUGAAGAGAACACCACUCACCUACGCGAACAGACUUUCACCUCAUUAACUUGGUGGAGGCAGAAUGCAGCUUUGAAAGCAAGGAAGUCUAAAUCUGCUUCCUAGUGACUUUAACACCUUGCCUCUACUGCACCAUCUGUAUCCAAGACAACUUAAAUUGUCUUCCAUUUGACAACCUUCAGGAAUUCUUCUCCAGGUCAAAGGUUAGAGUGAACCUGUAGAGAGCUCUGGCCUGAUGUCUGUCACAUCUGCAGAAGGUCCAUCUUCCUCUGAUGUCUCUCUGGCCUUUGUGCUGCUGCUCAGUGCCACCUCUUACCAGAAGAGGAAACUCCAAUCAACUCAGACUUCCCACUUAAAUGUCUCUGACAAGAGCCUUGAUGAAAGAGGAAACUGAAUAGAUUAUUUAUGUGAUAAAUUCAGUGAAGAAGGAGAUUUUUCCCCCUCAAUCAUGCUGUUUUUGAAUGUUAUCAUUGUGGACAAUCAGGAGUGGUCUACCUAUCUAAAUUGGGGAAUAAAAAGUCUCUACCUCUUUAAGAGACCUUGAGGGAAGUCCUUCAAAGACAGAUGAAACCAGGCUAGACCACAGAAUUAAAAUUAGAAUAAUUGUUAAAUAAGUUACUGAUCUUGAUGGGAGGCUCAGCUGAUUAAGAGUCCAGGAAGAAAGUGAAAUAAUAAUAAUCUGAAGAUCUAUAAACACAUAUAUACAUAUAUAUACAUACAUAC